AGCGGCGAGCGAACGGGGAGCAGCCCAGAGCCUGAAUCAGUGUGUGUGUUAGUGGAAACGUCUGGAAAGGCGCGCGAUACAGGGUGACAGCCCCGUACACAAAAAUGCACAUGCUGUGAGCUCGAUGAGUAGGGCGGGACACGUGGUAUCCUGUCUGAAUAUGGGGGGACCAUCCUCCAAGGCUAAAUACUCCUGACUGACCGAUAGUGAACCAGUACCGUGAGGGAAAGGCGAAAAGAACCCCGGCGAGGGGAGUGAAAAAGAACCUGAAACCGUGUACGUACAAGCAGUGGGAGCACAGAGCAAUCUGUGUGACUGCGUACCUUUUGUAUAAUGGGUCAGCGACUUAUAUUCUGUAGCAAGGUUAACCGAAUAGGGGAGCCGAAGGGAAACCGAGUCUUAACUGGGCGUUAAGUUGCAGGGUAUAGACCCGAAACCCGGUGAUCUAGCCAUGGGCAGGUUGAAGGUUGGGUAACACUAACUGGAGGACCGAACCGACUAAUGUUGAAAAAUUAGCGGAUGACUUGUGGCUGGGGGUGAAAGGCCAAUCAAACCGGGAGAUAGCUGGUUCUCCCCGAAAGCUAUUUAGGUAGCGCCUCGUGAAUUCAUCUCCGGGGGUAGAGCACUGUUUCGGCAAGGGGGUCAUCCCGACUUACCAACCCGAUGCAAACUGCGAAUACCGGAGAAUGUUAUCACGGGAGACACACGGCGGGUGCUAACGUCCGUCGUGAAGAGGGAAACAACCCAGACCGCCAGCUAAGGUCCCAAAGUCAUGGUUAAGUGGGAAACGAUGUGGGAAGGCCCAGACAGCCAGGAUGUUGGCUUAGAAGCAGCCAUCAUUUAAAGAAAGCGUAAUAGCUCACUGGUCGAGUCGGCCUGCGCGGAAGAUGUAACGGGGCUAAACCAUG
This 908-nucleotide ribosomal RNA is filed under the name Escherichia coli. Its description in RNAcentral is "partial 23S ribosomal RNA". It matches the Rfam family "Bacterial large subunit ribosomal RNA", at positions 245 to 1191 of the family's 2925-position model. Lineage: Bacteria; Pseudomonadati; Pseudomonadota; Gammaproteobacteria; Enterobacterales; Enterobacteriaceae. The record is from RNAcentral.